CCAUGAACAUGGAUGGACCUGCGGUGCAUUAGCUAGUUGGUGAGGUAACGGCCCACCAAGGCGACGAUGCAUAGCCGGCCUGAGAGGGCGGACGGCCACAUUGGGACUGAGACACGGCCCAAACUCCUACGGGAGGCAGCAGUAGGGAAUUUUCGUCAAUGGGGGGAACCCUGAACGAGCAAUGCCGCGUGAGUGAGGAAGGUCUUCGGAUCGUAAAGCUCUGUUGUAAGAGAAAAACGGCACUCAUAGGGAAUGAUGAGUGAGUGAUGGUAUCUUACCAGAAAGUCACGGCUAACUACGUGCCAGCAGCCGCGGUAAUACGUAGGUGGCGAGCGUUAUCCGGAAUGAUUGGGCGUAAAGGGUGCGUAGGUGGCAGAUCAAGUCUGGAGUAAAAGGUAUGGGCUCAACCCGUACUGCUCUGGAAACUGAUCAGCUAGAGAACAGAAGAGGACGGCGGAACUCCAUGUGUAGCGGUAAAAUGCGUAGAUAUAUGGAAGAACACCGGUGGCGAAGGCGGCCGUCUGGUCUGGAUUCUGACACUGAAGCACGAAAGCGUGGGGAGCAAAUAGGAUUAGAUACCCUAGUAGUCCACGCCGUAAACGAUGAGAACUAGGUGUUGGGGGAAUAACUCAGUGCCGCAG
This 641-nucleotide ribosomal RNA is filed under the name uncultured bacterium. Its description in RNAcentral is "bacterial SSU rRNA". It matches the Rfam family "Bacterial small subunit ribosomal RNA", at positions 213 to 851 of the family's 1533-position model. The record is from RNAcentral.